AAGGUUUUCGUCGGCCCUCUCUUUGCGAAAAGAUUAGGAGUCUGGCGGCCAAGAUCAACCACUGUGCGCACAUAUUGAAAACGUAAUUGCUUUUGGUAGGUUGGUUCCCUUCUAAAGUUUUUUGGGGGGGCGCCUGCCAAGAGCAUCUACAAACCAGCCUUAUUUUUUGACUGAUAUCUUUUAAAUAAAAAUUUAAUA
Molecule: unclassified non-coding RNA, 198 nt
Filed under: uncultured fungus
Lineage: Eukaryota; Fungi
Description: sequence contains ITS1
Source: RNAcentral